RNAcentral lists this ribosomal RNA (116 nucleotides) under uncultured bacterium. RNAcentral's name for it is "partial 16S ribosomal RNA". It matches the Rfam family "Bacterial small subunit ribosomal RNA", at positions 1369 to 1482 of the family's 1533-position model. The record is from RNAcentral.
CGUUCCCGGGCCUUGUACACACCGCCCGUCAAGCGAUGAAAGCCGGGAGUACCCGAAGUCGUUGGCCCAACCCGCAAGGGAGGGAGACGCCGAAGGUAAAACUGGUGAUUGGCGCU